Cloeon dipterum is the source of this 611-nucleotide long non-coding RNA. RefSeq lists it as uncharacterized. Lineage: Eukaryota; Metazoa; Arthropoda; Insecta; Ephemeroptera; Baetidae. The record is from RefSeq and is a predicted model, not a curated record. The transcript has 3 exons.
GCCAUGUCGGGGUUCGUUGGAGGAUUCUAAAUACGACACAAGGAAUUCGUACAAAAACUAUGAAAACAGGAAUGCAUGUAGAAUCACCAAUCGCGCAGGAAUGCAAAACUAUGUCAUGUUCUAUUCGACAGUUGAGACGACAAUGGCAAACACUGAUGAAAAAGGUUCGUGGUUUGUCCGUAAUAUCUGCAUGUGUCUUAACAAUGCCGAUGAUGAGCCAUUGUUGAAAUUCUUUACCAUUGUUCAGAAUCGAAUGCAUCAUUCGUCACGCAGUUUAAUGAACUUUGCAAAAAACACUCCACUGGGACAGACGCCAGAACUCAAAAUGUUUACACAGGACAGAAAAUUUGUAAUCUCAAAGGCUAAUAUCACAGAAAAACCUAUUUCAAACACUGAUGCGUCUAGUGGCAAGAGCAAAGUUUUAAAUGAACUACAUUCCGGAUAUUUCGCCUGGAAAUCGGACGAAGGACAAGACAUCAGGGGCCGUAGAGGUUUCAUUUUAUCCGUGACUCAUUGCAAACAAGUACAAGAUAUGAAAAGAGUUCUUCAGAACCUAGACUUCGAAAUCACAGACUGGACACUUAGCAGUGCGUCCAUGAAUUUCUAUUUUA